This 505-nucleotide ribosomal RNA is filed under the name uncultured bacterium. Its description in RNAcentral is "partial 16S ribosomal RNA". It matches the Rfam family "Bacterial small subunit ribosomal RNA", at positions 28 to 507 of the family's 1533-position model. The record is from RNAcentral.
GACGAACGCUGGCGGCGUGCCUAAUACAUGCAAGUAGAACGCACAGUUUAUACCGUAGCUUGCUACACCAUAAACUGUGAGUUGCGAACGGGUGAGUAACGCGUAGGUAACCUGCCUGGUAGCGGGGGAUAACUAUUGGAAACGAUAGCUAAUACCGCAUAAUAUUAAUUAUUGCAUGAUAAUUGAUUGAAAGAUGCAAUUGCAUCACUACCAGAUGGACCUGCGUUGUAUUAGCUAGUAGGUGAGGUAACGGCUCACCUAGGCGACGAUACAUAGCCGACCUGAGAGGGUGAGCGGCCGCACUGAGAGUGAGACACGGCCCAGAGUCCUACGGGAGGCAGCAGUAGGGAAUCUGCGGCAAUGGGCGAGAGUCUGACCGAGCAACGCGGAGUGAGUGAGGAAGGGUUUCGGAUCGUAAAGCUCUGUUGUAAGAGAAGAACGGGUGUGAGAGUGGAAAGUUCACACUGUGACGGUAUCUUACCAGAAAGGGACGGCUAACUACGUG